CACGUAGAUAACCUGCCUUUUAGAGGGGAAUAACUCUUCGAAAGAAGGGCUAAUACCGCAUAAGUUCUAUACCGAUAGGCAUAGAAGAAACCCUUGUCUACUUCGGUUCGCCGAGGAGGUGGGGGGCUAAAAGAGGGGUCUGCGGCGGAUUAGCUAGAUGGUGGGGUAAAGGCCUACCAUGGCGACGAUCCGUAGCUGGUCUGAGAGGACGACCAGCCACACUGGGACUGAGAAACGGCCCAG
RNAcentral lists this ribosomal RNA (243 nucleotides) under uncultured bacterium. RNAcentral's name for it is "partial 16S ribosomal RNA". It matches the Rfam family "Bacterial small subunit ribosomal RNA", at positions 114 to 334 of the family's 1533-position model. The record is from RNAcentral.